CGGGGGGCAGCAGUGGGGAAUAUUGGACAAUGGGGGCAACCCUGAUCCAGCCAUGCCGCGUGUGUGAAGAAGGCCUUAGGGUUGUAAAGCACUUUAAGUUGGGAGGAAAGGUUUCUAGCUAAUAACUGGGAGCUGUGACGUUACCAACAGAAUAAGCACCGGCUAACUCCGUGCCAGCAGCCGCGGUAAUACGGAGGGUGCAAGCGUUAAUCGGAAUUACUGGGCGUAAAGCGCGCGUAGGCGGCUAUAUAAGCUAGAUGUGAAAUCCCUGGGCUCAACCUGGGAACUGCAUUUAGAACUGUGUAGCUAGAGUGCAGAAGAGGAGUGUGGAAUUUCAGGUGUAGCGGUGAAAUGCGUAGAGAUCUGAAGGAACAUCAGUGGCGAAGGCGACACUCUGGUCUGACACUGACGCUGAGGUGCGAAAGCGUGGGUAGCAAACAGGAUUAGAUACCCCGGU
This 457-nucleotide ribosomal RNA is filed under the name uncultured Alteromonadaceae bacterium. RNAcentral's name for it is "bacterial SSU rRNA". It matches the Rfam family "Bacterial small subunit ribosomal RNA", at positions 342 to 791 of the family's 1533-position model. Lineage: Bacteria; Pseudomonadati; Pseudomonadota; Gammaproteobacteria; Alteromonadales; Alteromonadaceae. The record is from RNAcentral.